This 513-nucleotide ribosomal RNA is filed under the name uncultured bacterium. RNAcentral describes it as "bacterial SSU rRNA". It matches the Rfam family "Bacterial small subunit ribosomal RNA", at positions 24 to 518 of the family's 1533-position model. The record is from RNAcentral.
UCAGAACGAACGCUGGCGGCGUGCUAACACAUGCAAGUCGAACGCGAAAGGGACUUCGGUCCUGAGUAAAGUGGCGCACGGGUGAGUAACGCGUAGAUAACCUGUCUUCAUGUCUGGAAUAAUACGCCGAAAAGGGUACUAAUACCGGAUAUUCUUGCUUUUCAUAAGUUAUGCAAGCAAAGGUGGCCUCUGCAUAUGCUACUGCAUGAAGAGGGGUCUGCGUACCAUUAGCUAGUAGGUGGGGUAAUGGCCUACCUAGGCGACGAUGGUUAGCGGGUCUGAGAGGAUGAUCCGCCACACUGGCACUGGAACACGGGCCAGACUCCUACGGGAGGCAGCAGUGAGGAAUAUUGCGCAAUGGGGGAAACCCUGACGCAGCGACGCCGCGUGAGUGAGGAAGGCCUUCGGGUCGUAAAGCUCUGUCAAGAGGAAAGAAGUGUACAAUGGCUAAUACCUGUUGUAUUUGACGGUACCUCUAAAGGAAGCACCGGCUAACUCCGUGCCAGCCGCGGC